Molecule: long non-coding RNA, 934 nt
Organism: Bos taurus (domestic cattle)
Lineage: Eukaryota; Metazoa; Chordata; Mammalia; Artiodactyla; Bovidae
Source: Ensembl
AGAAGUACAUAGGGUACUGAGAACUUCAUAGACAGAAUGAAAAGGAAAAAUAGAAGAAGGUCCAAGAAGGACAGAAUCUUAGAACUGCACUGCCUGCUCAUACGAUCAAUGCUGCCUCUUGGCACAGACAGAAACCUCCGGGGAUUCAGCUGAAAAGCACGCUGCCUUUUGAACACCUGGAAGUGGACUUCACUGAAAUGAAACCUCACCGACACUACCGUUACCUGCUGGUCAUGUUCAAGUUGCAGCUGUCACUCCCUGGAUCCACCACAUGAGGAUGAAGAGAACGUACCAUGCAGACCCAGAAAAUGCUGGGUGGACUGAGCAGAGGGACCCCACUGACCCUCAAGAGACUAAGAUCAUCCUUAAGAAGAAGGAAAAGAAGAUCCUGGACGAGCCCCUUCAGGAUGAAGCCACAUAAUCAACUCCUGCUGUUUGGCCUCAUCAACGUGAUUUUGAAUUUAACUUCCAUUUCCAUUGAGGACAAUGUUUUCAUCUCAUGGGCACAUUCCUACGCGGACUUCCACAACACCUCCAACUACUGGGUACAUGGGGCUAUGCCUCUUUCUGUGACAGACGGACUUCCUUGGUGGGUGUCACCGCUCCACCAAUGAGAUUUUAAACCACUCUGCUCUUUUCUGGAAUGACAAAAAGAGACUUUCCUUUCUCUUGUCAAUCAUAAUCUCUCCUUGCUUUCUUGGUGUAAGCCAGACCUACAGUCAGUAGACUUGGAUCAUUGGGUGACAUUUGAUGUAAACACCAGUUUCACAGAAGUAACAAAAGCCUAUAACUCAUAUUUAAAGAACAAAAAGGAAAAAAUCUCCCUGACCAGCAAGGGAGGACAGGCCUCUAGGUAUGCUGAACAAUUUUACCAAGUCUGGGAUGAACAGUUCUGGAUGACCCCAGAAGAGGGUCAAUUAAUUACUCCCACCGC